Non-coding RNA from Homo sapiens (human), 347 nucleotides. The record is from the annotation of a RefSeq genome assembly. NCBI's taxonomy places the organism in Eukaryota, Metazoa, Chordata, Mammalia, Primates, Hominidae.
AUGGGCACCAGGCUCCUCGGCUGUGCAGCCCUGUGUCUCCUGGCAGCAGACUCUUUUCAUGCCAAAGUCACACAGACUCCAGGACAUUUGGUCAAAGGAAAAGGACAGAAAACAAAGAUGGAUUGUACCCCCGAAAAAGGACAUACUUUUGUUUAUUGGUAUCAACAGAAUCAGAAUAAAGAGUUUAUGCUUUUGAUUUCCUUUCAGAAUGAACAAGUUCUUCAAGAAACGGAGAUGCACAAGAAGCGAUUCUCAUCUCAAUGCCCCAAGAACGCACCCUGCAGCCUGGCAAUCCUGUCCUCAGAACCGGGAGACACGGCACUGUAUCUCUGCGCCAGCAGUCAAUC